RNAcentral lists this small RNA (31 nucleotides) under Bombyx mori (domestic silkworm). RNAcentral describes it as "ovarian small RNA-3381". Lineage: Eukaryota; Metazoa; Arthropoda; Insecta; Lepidoptera; Bombycidae. The record is from RNAcentral.
UCCUCGAGUUAGGAGCCGAUCAGCCGGCGGA